Molecule: ribosomal RNA, 328 nt
Filed under: uncultured Bacteroidota bacterium
Lineage: Bacteria; Pseudomonadati; Bacteroidota
Description: bacterial SSU rRNA
Rfam family: Bacterial small subunit ribosomal RNA
Source: RNAcentral
GAUGAACGCUAGCGGCAGGCUUAAUACAUGCAAGUCGAGGGGCAGCGGGUGUAGCAAUACAUGCCGGCGACCGGCGCACGGGUGCGUAACGCGUAUGCAACCUACCUUUAACUGGAGGAUAGCCCCGAGAAAUCGGGAUUAAUACUCCAUAACAUUGCGAAAAGACAUCUUUUUGCAAUUAAAGCUCAGGCGGUUUUAGAUGGGCAUGCGUGACAUUAGCUAGUUGGUGAGGUAACGGCUCACCAAGGCUUCGAUGUCUAGGGGGUUCUGAGAGGAUUACCCCCCACACUGGUACGUGAGACACGGACCAGACUCCUACGGGAGGCUG